CCACACCCAAAUGCUGCAACAGAUGAUAUCACUUUCCAGGGUAAACACAAGCAGUGUAUUCUGAGGCCACUGGCCCGACUUCCCAGGUUGACUCAUCCUGCCUUCCAGCCUUGAAGGGCAAUAUCCUUACCAACAUGUGAUCUGAAGGAGCUCUGAACCCUCCAGUGAGACAUCAGCCCAUCAGACUCACAGAGAACAGCAGGAAGGCCAAAGACUCAAGAUUUAUCUAUCCUUGAAGCCUCCGUUAUACGAAGGGAAAACAUCCCAGACCCCCCAGUGAAUGCCUGAAACUGGAUUCUACUGAACCCUGAGAUGGUACUAAGUGACUAACGGGUGAAUAGCGUGUACAGCAUGGAUACACUAGACAAAGGGAGGAUUCGCAUCCCGGGCUGGUCAGCAAGAGGUUUCAUCACCCCACUCAAAAUGGCAGGACCGUAUGAACCUGAAUCCAGAGAAACGGCUCAUCAGUCUCCAAUCCUCUGAUUUUCUAAACCAGGACUACAUUAUAUUAAAACCAGAAAAAGCAAUACCUCUUUUCACAGAAUGGACUUUCUGGUGGAAAUGGGAGGAACCAAAAGAAGGCUGACUUCUUCAUUUUGACACCCUGCCCUGACUGCAGAACGUGAUUUCCCUAAAAGACUGAAUGUUAACCUCAAAGCCUGGUCAACCAACAUGCAGGAGAAAUCUUGACCAAGGCUCUGAGCAUGCUGUGGUCCCAGUGGUGAGGGUGUGAUAUGCACUGUCUGUUCCUGGAGUCACAGUGCUCAUCUUGUGGUAAAGACCUCUUGGAAGAAUGUCUUCAAAGGCACAUCUCCAGCUGGGAGUCCUUGUUUCCUGAUUUUUUUUUUUAAGUUUAUGUUAUAUGAACAAAUGAGACUGCUUUCCCGGCAGGAGUAGCCCUCAGACGCCCACUGUGAGCCUACUUUCUGGAAGAAGCCAACUCAGACAGACCACAGUGUGUGCACAGCAUACGUGGCUGCUGGCUGUGGAUGAGAAAGUAUUCCUGAUCUGUCAGAAUAAUGAUUUCAGCGUGUUCUCAGCAGGUCCUCAGUGUGAUCCCAUGAGGAUACCCUCAACCCCUUGCAUGACAUGUUGUACUUGGAGUCCUUCCCCAUUUCAAUUUCAGCAUCAGUGGGAGGGAAAUAGCAAAACAGCAUUCCUUCAUGUAGAUAACCAGUAGGCAGCAGGCUACUCCUGGUUCGUAACAUAACUCCACCAGUGUAUUCUGGCAGCCGGGCUUACUUAAGGGAGAGCACAGACAUUCCCUGCUCAAAAACAAAACUGCUAAACGUGACUCCGGUAGCCUCCAUGCUCUCUGCAAGAAUAAAAUCCUUGAAGAAAAAUUGUGAUAAGAAGUCUGUCUUUGGAGUCAGCCUGAGCACAAUCUUGCAUCUCCAGUUACCACCUGGGUGGCUUUAUUCACUUAAGAAAUACCUGUAGGAUACAUACUACAUGGCAGGCAUGCUUCUCAGAUGUUAGCUCAUCUUGCUAAGCCUCCAGUAUCUUCAUCUAAACAGUGAGGAUAACAGUAUGUACCUCCUAGGGCCAUCUGAGGAAAAAGUGAGAUAGUGUGUAUAAAGCUCAUAGCACAGGGCUCAUAGAGAGGAUUUGCAGUUAGUGUUGGCUGUGGCAGGUAUUAUUCCCUUUACCCCAG
RNAcentral lists this long non-coding RNA (1654 nucleotides) under Homo sapiens (human). RNAcentral describes it as "non-protein coding lnc-FSIP1-4:16". The record is from RNAcentral. Lineage: Eukaryota; Metazoa; Chordata; Mammalia; Primates; Hominidae.